This 253-nucleotide ribosomal RNA is filed under the name uncultured bacterium. Its description in RNAcentral is "partial 16S ribosomal RNA". It matches the Rfam family "Bacterial small subunit ribosomal RNA", at positions 524 to 776 of the family's 1533-position model. The record is from RNAcentral.
UACGAAGGGGGCUAGCGUUGUUCGGAAUUACUGGGCGUAAAGCGCACGUAGGCGGGUGGUUAAGUCAGGGGUGAAAUCCCGGAGCUCAACUCCGGAACUGCCUUUGAUACUGGCCAUCUAGAGAUCGGAAGAGGUGAGUGGAAUUCCCAGUGUAGAGGUGAAAUUCGUAGAUAUUGGGAAGAACACCAGUGGCGAAGGCGGCUCACUGGUCCGAUACUGACGCUGAGGUGCGAAAGCGUGGGGAGCAAACAGG